UUAUUUUUUUGGUAUCAAUGUUAAGUAUUUAUACCAUUUUCGAAGUUGUAACAGAAGUUACACGGAAUACAUGUAGCGGAAAAAUAAAUCUACAGAAGACACAGACAAAAACAAACAGCAAUAGUGGUUAACGUUAACCAAAAGCGGAAAUAAGAGAAGAAACACCGAUUCCGAGAAGCUAAACUCGGAAAUUUGCGUGAUUUCCACAACUCGAAGAUACCAAAGAGUUGGAGUCCCAUCCUAGUUGCCACGAGCAAACCUUAGCAGAAGCCCGUACACAAAACCUCUCGAUAAAGCGCCUACAGCUUCUCCGCAAACUAACGCAAAAACGCAAAGACAACAGAGGACUAAAACACAAAUCCGACGGUUACAGGAGCAUCUACGGGUAAUGCAUAUAUCUUUGUGACUUUAAGAGCAUGUUCAUAGAUGUACUCACAAAGU
Molecule: small RNA, 441 nt
Filed under: Arabidopsis thaliana (thale cress)
Lineage: Eukaryota; Viridiplantae; Streptophyta; Magnoliopsida; Brassicales; Brassicaceae
Description: ATSL192290
Source: RNAcentral